This 74-nucleotide transfer RNA is filed under the name Acidobacteriota bacterium. RNAcentral's name for it is "Acidobacteria bacterium tRNA-Arg". It matches the Rfam family "tRNA". Rfam says of the family: Transfer RNA (tRNA) molecules are approximately 80 nucleotides in length. Their secondary structure includes four short double-helical elements and three loops (D, anti-codon, and T loops). Lineage: Bacteria; Pseudomonadati; Acidobacteriota. The record is from RNAcentral. RNAcentral also lists the same sequence under 2 other names.
GCACCCGUAGCUCAGUUGGAUAGAGCGUCUGACUUCGAAUCAGAAGGUCGAAAGUUCGAGUCUUUCCGGGUGUA